This is a long non-coding RNA of Hippocampus zosterae (dwarf seahorse), 551 nucleotides long. RefSeq lists it as uncharacterized. The transcript is spliced from 3 exons. The record is from RefSeq and is a predicted model, not a curated record. NCBI's taxonomy places the organism in Eukaryota, Metazoa, Chordata, Actinopteri, Syngnathiformes, Syngnathidae.
GGAGGAGUGAAGAAUUCUCAUAUGUGACUCACCGGCAUAUUUGGGAACAUUGGACUCAUCCAUGGACCAGAAACAGUGGUCAAAGGCGAACACCUGCAGAGAAGACAGCAAAGCGAGCGUCAACACACGUUCCACACUUGUCCAAAGCAUGGUCAGGAUCGAGUACUAUCAGGCCGUGCUUAACCCCUCCCAAGUCAACCGGGCAAGGCUCCAGCUCACCUCUGACACUAAUGAGAGCAAGAGGUGUUGAAGAUGGAUGGAUGAACUGAAAUCCUGUUUCUGCGCCAUUAUCCUGUCUGACUAACGCUGCCUGGAGGGCCGUGGGGAACUGGAGCCUAACCUAGCUGACUUUGGGAGAUAAACCGACAACAGCCUGGACUGGACGCCGGAGUACCCAAAGACCGACUAUUCACACUAAUAUCUGAAGUAAUUGGACUUAAGCAGUCUGCACUGAAGUCAGGGGAGUCUACCACUAAACCACCAGUGACCCGAUUAAUUCUGUUCCGUUGUUUCCCAUGUGGAAAAUUCCAUUACAUUCCACCAACGCUUCA